This 341-nucleotide ribosomal RNA is filed under the name Rhipicephalus sanguineus (brown dog tick). RNAcentral's name for it is "partial large subunit ribosomal RNA". The record is from RNAcentral. Lineage: Eukaryota; Metazoa; Arthropoda; Arachnida; Ixodida; Ixodidae.
AGAUUUUAAUUGAAUGCUAAGAGAAUGGACUCUCAGAGAAAAACUUUUUUUAAAUUAAAAAUUGAAAUUUUUUUAAUUUGUGCAGAAACAAUUAUUAAUAUUAAGGACAAGAAGACCCUAUGAAUUUAUUAAAUUUCAUUCAAUAUGUAAUUACUAUUGAAGAAAUUUUGGCUGGGGCGGCUAAAAAAUAUUUUAAACUUUUUAAAAAUAAAAUGAUCCAUUAUUAAUGAUUAUAUGUUAAAUACUCUAGGGAUAACAGCGUUAUAUUUUUUGAUAGACCAUAUUGACAAAAAAGUUUGCGACCUCGAUGUUGGAUUAGGAUACUUUUUUAAUGCAGAUAU